CGAACGGGUGAGUAAUGCAUCGGAACGCGUCCUGUAGUGGGGGACAACCCCGAGAAAUCGGGGCUAAUACCGCAUACGAUCUGCGGAUGAAAGUGGGGACCGUAAGGCCUCACGCUAUAGGAGCGGCCGAUGCCGGAUUAGCUAGUUGGUGGGGUAAAGGCCCACCAAGGCGACGAUCCGUAGCUGGUCUGAGAGGACGACCAGCCACACUGGGACUGAGACACGGCCCAG
This 231-nucleotide ribosomal RNA is filed under the name uncultured bacterium. RNAcentral's name for it is "partial 16S ribosomal RNA". It matches the Rfam family "Bacterial small subunit ribosomal RNA", at positions 99 to 334 of the family's 1533-position model. The record is from RNAcentral.